This 652-nucleotide ribosomal RNA is filed under the name uncultured Methanosaeta sp. RNAcentral describes it as "bacterial SSU rRNA". It matches the Rfam family "Archaeal small subunit ribosomal RNA", at positions 1 to 663 of the family's 1478-position model. The record is from RNAcentral. Lineage: Archaea; Methanobacteriati; Methanobacteriota; Methanomicrobia; Methanotrichales; Methanotrichaceae.
UUCCGUUUGAUCCUGCCGGAGGUUACUGCUAUCGAGGUUCGACUAAGCCAUGCGAGUCGAAUGUAGCAAUACAUGGCGUACUGCUCAGUAACACGUGGACAACCUACCCUUAGGUCGGGGAUAAACCCGGGAAACUGGGUAUAAUACCCGAUAGUCCUCGAAUGCUGGAAUGCAUCGAGGUCUAAAGCUCCGGCGCCUAAGGAUGGGUCUGCGGCCUAUCAGGUAGUAGUGGGUGUAGCGUACCUACUAGCCUACGACGGGUACGGGUUGUGAGAGCAAGAGCCCGGAGAUGGAUUCUGAGACACGAAUCCGGGCCCUACGGGGUGCAGCAGGCGCGAAAACUUUACAAUGCUGGCAACAGCGAUAAGGGGACCUCGAGUGCCAGGUUACAAAUCUGGCUGUCGUGAUGCCUAAAAAGCAUUGCAUAGCAAGGGCCGGGCAAGACCGGUGCCAGCCGCCGCGGUAACACCGGCGGCUCGAGUGGUAACCGUUAUUAUUGGGUCUAAAGGGUCUGUAGCCGGCCGGAUAAGUCUCUUGGGAAAUCUGGCAGCUUAACUGUCAGGCUUUCAGGAGAUACUGUCUGGCUCGAGGCCGGGAGAGGUGAGAGGUACUCAGGGGUAGGGGGAAAUCUCGUAAACUGAAGGACCACCAG